RNAcentral lists this long non-coding RNA (199 nucleotides) under Solanum tuberosum (potato). RNAcentral describes it as "long non-coding RNA (STUB_LNC007376)". The record is from RNAcentral. Lineage: Eukaryota; Viridiplantae; Streptophyta; Magnoliopsida; Solanales; Solanaceae.
GCAUGACAUCUCAAUCCCUCUUUUGGAUAAUUUUCCAGUUUUACUGGUUUCACCUUGCUCUUUCUUCCUUUUCUUGCCAGGCCUUCCUGGCAUCUUCCUAACAUGAGGUGGUAUCACAGAGAUGUUUUGUGAUUCUGGCCACAUUUUCAGAUUCAUAACUAGCUGAAUGAAGUAGUUGUAUGUCUUCAUGUAUGUUUCU